Molecule: long non-coding RNA, 5595 nt
Organism: Sparus aurata (gilthead seabream)
Lineage: Eukaryota; Metazoa; Chordata; Actinopteri; Spariformes; Sparidae
Source: Ensembl
UGACACAACAUGUGCCGUUGGAGGACAGUUUUUCAUAGAAGUGCUUUAACUCUUGGCUUGCUCCCUUUUUUAUUCUGGUGAAAGUGUUUUAAUGUUGUUGCGGGUUCGGCAGAGAGAGUUCAAACCCUGCGAUCAUGUUGUCGUCUUGGCUUCUUCAGUGACAGCAUCAUUCCCUCCCUCCCCUCAAGCCACCCACCACCUUCACCCCUAACUUACCCCUGCCCCGAGGUCAUGAGUCAUAAGCACGGAGGGAGGGGAGGGAGGAUUGUAAACAGCGCCGAGGGGACACUGCAGAAUGGAUCCUAUUGUUAGCCCCACAGGCCAGAGAGUGCUGUCUCACCCAGGGAAGUAUCACCAUUUGGUCUACGCUUGCAGCCAAGUGUGUUUUCUUGGGUGUCCAUGUGCGUGUGUGUCUAUUUUCCUGUGUGGGUUUCUUUGCGAGUGUCUGCACGGACGUAUCACCACGGCAACUGCUCUUUUUGGUUGUUCGCUUCCAUCGAGCAUGUGAUGUGACGCAGCCUGACACCACCACAUGAGCUUGAGAAGCCUGUCACAAGCUAAUUUGUGAACUUGUUGUCUUCCAUCACAUAUCGCUGUAGGUAUUUCCAUAUGUUGGAGCCCGGAGUAUGCGCUGCGUACAUGUGUGUGUUGGACUCCCAGCCUGUGAAGGGAAGACGCAGAAUGAUGCCACCUCAUCCCUUCAUGCCUUGACUCCCAACGGCUCCUGCACCCAUCCCCCUCUCCCUGCAUCUAAUCCCCACCUGGCUGCCAUUGAGGUCAACAUCAGGGGGCUUAAAAUCAGACAGGUGGCUCUUCCUGCGACCUGGAUGUACUUAUCCCUUGAUCCCUGGCGACCCUGACAGGAAGUGGAUCGCUGGCCAAGUGACCCCCUCUGGUGGCCCUUCCUGUCCCCACGUUCCCUUGCAGGAAGGAAGGAUGCGGUCUGUUGUCCUCAGGCGCCGCUCACUCGCUCCCCCCCACCUCAGCCCAACGAGAGAAACCAGAUUAUUGGUUCCAGGCUUGUCUCUCCCUGUGCGUACUUUUUUAUCCUUUUUUUGUCUCCUCCACUUCCCAUCUUCUUUUCUCUGGUCUCAUCACCUACUUUAGCCCAGUUUGACAUCAUUCCUUCCUUCUUUCAUCGACUCCUCUGUGCCUAUGUGAGAUCUCAGUAAACACUGCGGACAAUGGUUAACCACAAAAGUCCCAAAUCCCAGUCAAUUGCACUCCAGGGGCUAACAAUACUUUUGAUUUAUAGUCCUCAUGUGAUGUAUCUCUGACACCGACUUGUUUACUUUUGUUAUUGUUGUUUUAUUGGCCAUUUAUUUACAUUAAAUAUGGCAUUCAUUUUCAUGUGGCGGAGAAAAUCCCAAAGUCAGGCUUCUGGGUUUAGUCUGCUCUCAAAUGAUGUACAUGCACGUUGUGAAUUACAGGACGCCAUUUGGUGGUAGUUAGAAGGAGAAGGGGACUUCCAGGCACACUGAGAAAAGAGACCUCGCGAACAACAUCAAACAAUGUUAUUAUUGUUCUUCUGGCCGUAGUUUAAGAACAGGAACUCAAAACCGAAAAGGUGAGAAGGUCACAAAGAGCCUUUGCUCACCGCUCAGCUCAGACAUUGGUUGGUAAUUGUGACGGUUAAGAGUGAGGACAGGAUUGUGCAAGAGGGGAAAAACUUCUCAUCUCCCGCGGGGGUAUCAGUGCUUAUCCAUGUUUUCUGUCUUGGUAACAUGAGCACAAGUUUUCAUGAGUGUGGUCACACUCUCCAUUGGAUGAUGAUGCAGGCAGAGCAGGUGGUAUAUAUCAAUGCUGCAACCACAUAUGAUGACCGUCCACACUCUGGGCCGUCUCUCUGUGUAUGUAAGUGUCACUCAGCUGCAGGUGUUAGACAGCAUGUUUACACAACACAUUACAGCUUCGAGCACAUUUACUAUAGAUGCAAAUUACCAGCAAAGUAAAAAGAGUAAAUGCAUCAGUCCAGUUUGAUCAUUUAUAUUUAUAUAAAACGCUAAGGAAGUUUAAAAUGUCUAUGUUUAUCUAUGUAAUACUCCAAACCAGGAAGUUGGGGUGUCUACACCUAUUUUAAGAAACAUGAAAAUGCACAAUCUCUCCCAUAAGUCUUUCUGUUGUUCAGCAAACGUUAGAAGGAGUUAUGAGGAAACGCUGCGAGUUACGCGUUAAACUUCGUCCCUUUCCUUGACAAGAGUUUGUCCCCAGUGUAGGAAAGAAACCAAUGUUUUUGGAAGUUAUACACUAAAAUUGUUAAGUGUAACAAAAACACUUGUUAAUUAAACAUCUUUUAAUUGUUAGAUCAGGUUUCAGAAUGAAAUUAUAUUGGUGAAUAUGUCGGUAGUGUUUUUAAAAACGAUAAAUAAUAAAAAGAUUACAAUCUAGUGCCAGUUGGUCUGACUGUGUCUUUUUGUACUUUGAAUACAAUUAAAGAAACUGGACUUAAAGAGAACUGACACUGGAACAGCCCCGCGAGCAAAACAAAUCUAAAAGACGUCACUUCAGUGUCUUUUUCAAAAGUUCAGGGGACAUCUGUGUCCUUCGUUCAUCGAUAAUUGAAGCUGAAAAGACGUCUAAAAUGACUUCACUUUGAACCCUGCAAAGAUGUUUUAAAAGACGUCACAAAAGCUUUCAUUCUGGCUACUCUAAUAGAUGCUGAAUUGAUGUCUUUUGGAUAUGUUUUAGCCCGGUGAGAGAACUCUCCGUGCUUUCAUAAAAUAUCUUUUAUAUGACAAUUUGUUAUUUGUGUAACAUUGAAAUGUGUUGUAAAUUGCCAUCUGGGCUCCGAUACAGCAGGUCUGUGGGAGCUAGUUGGAAUAUUAUAAAAUCUAGCAUCAUUUUAACAUACUGACAAAGGUUUUGAGAUCUCUUAAACAGCAGAAUACACAUUUACAGUUGCAUUCAGUGAAAUUAGACUUCAGGGAGCGCCUCCUUUUCAUUAUCCUUUUAUCUUUAACACAAAUCAAAUUGUUUCUCCUGAUAAAAAGUGAAUCCUGUUCUUUGUCUUCUAAAUGGCAAUAUAACACGUUCUAACAGACUUGGGACACAUUAGAGGACAGCAGGGAGAGAGCGGGAAGUGAGAUGUUGUGAUCCCACAGGUGUUUGUCUCCCUUCUAUCAUGUCAGUCUGCAACUGCAUUGCCACCUAGUGGGAGAGAAGGUUUACUGUCCUCAGACUGCUGUGGUUUAAACUCAUGCAUUCAGUAAAAUUAGGUAGGUUGUAUUGGGGAGGGGAACUGAUUUAAAACAGUGACGAAUGUAAAACUGAAGGGUGUCGCCCACCAUCUUCUCUUUUAAUUGUUGGAUAUUUCAGGUCAGCGGCUGCAAAAAGUUUUUCCAGCUGAGCUCCUCCAACCAAAUAUCAAGCCAGUGAGUUCACAUCUGGAGCUUAUGUGGGAGAUAGACAUCAACAUGUCAGGCCUCCGGGCUAUAAGAACAUCCCUACAGUUGCAAAGCAUCAGAAAUGCUUAUGAUGAAUAAAUCACUUAUCAGGAGCUCAGAAGAGGCCAAAGACACUUAAAUAACUGUCUCAGUCCGUCACAAAGGAGGGAGAGGGAGAGAAAGAGAGGCUGGAAGAAGGGAGGGUAGAAUGAGAGAACAUGUAGUAAAAGCGAGGGAAGGUUUGUUUGGCCACGCUUUGGCUAAUUGGUCUCAGUGGUGCAGCUAAUGGUUUUAGGUUUACGUCCAAGCGGCGCUGAAAAAUAAGUGGGAACCAAUGAAGGGCGAGCGGCUGUGUUUUUAUGCAUUUUCAUCAUCUCGCAGGAGAAGGAGGAGAAUUUAAAGUGCAUAAAAAGAAAAGAGAAUGGAGACUGGAAUCACCUAAUUUAAAGCCACACGUUGCACAUCCUGUUGCUCCUUCAUCUAUUAAGCAGAUGUUAGGUGAAGGGAAUUUUUUUGGGAGCUGGUUUAUCCAUUACAAGCUACUUUUAGCAUUUUCACACCCAGAAUGCCGAGCGCACAUUUGAAGGUCGGUGACGUGCUUUCAUCUGAUACCUCCCACGUCUGUGCCUGUCUUUCAACCCUUUCAGGUUAUAAGUGGCCCUCCUCCUGACCCUCACCAGUCCCAUUUUGUCCGUCUUUCAUCGGCCGUAGCCGAGGCAUGUGGCAACAAAGCUCCGCUGUGGUCAGAUGGCAUCUGUCCCUUCAAUAAUCCUGGAGUUAUCGCUACACAUCAAAGCGUUAAGGGCUUGCAUAAUUGAGUUAACGAGUGUGUUGUACGUAACCUGAUCCUUUAUUCCCUGUGAGGAUGGCGGUCACAGUUUGUGACCACAGACAGAGACGAAGAGAGAGAGUGAGAGAGAGAGAUGGACUAAGAUGGUCUCUAAAGCCCUGCAACAACUGUGGGUUCACGCUGUGGGCCUGGCAAGCUGCAAAGUGGCCUGGGCCAGCACCAAGCUAAUGAAAAAACAACAGUGGGGUAAUGCUGGUGUGGAGCCGGGGCCCGCAGCACCGUGCCCACUGCACAACUGCCCCGGUCAGCACUGGCACUGGUCGCAGCGCCAGUUGUCACGGCCUUAAUCCUGCCUGCUGAAUGACCUCAUCAUUGCCUGCCUGCCUCCCCUGCAGCUGCUGCCAUGGCUCGAUGGAGUGACCUCACCUACGCGACACACACACGCACACACAGACACAAUCACAUGCAAAGCAGGCAGAUAACGCCGGUGCAAAAUCAUGCAAAACCUCAAAUGAUAAGUUCACCAAUAUUACAAGAAGGAAAUUCUCACCGUGCAGGUAGUUUAGGUUUAAUCUGCUAAGAUUUCUGCAUGCAUCCUACUCAAAGUACUGAAAACUCCAUGCAUUUCCAUGCAUUUCCAAGGAACCAAUGAAGACAAUGCUCACCAUGCAGGGAAGUCUGUGGACUGUCCACAUUAACCAGAGCAUCGUUUCAAGGGAGAUGCAAAUUUUUUACGUGUCUGCUGUCCUUAAUACAGGAUUCUGCACAUCAUGAUUUACAUUCAAAGACAAUCUUCAGGGCCGAGUCUCUAAGUAGUGUGCCCUAUGUGGAAGCUGCACAGUCGGGGUGGUGGGUGGAGCAUUUCACAGACCUGCAAUUAGUUAGUUAGUUAGUAAUUAAAUAGUCCAGUCUGUGGGACCUAAGUGGAACUAUUAGCAAAAAUGUUCAUAAUUAUGUUUUCAUGAGUGUAUUAUCAACACAAACGUACUGUGCUUUAGUUAGCUUAAUAUGAGCUUUUCAUAUCGAGAGAGGGAGCAAGUCUGUCGCUACCUGAUGUCAGUAGCUGUCUCUAGGUAUGGCAACACCAUUUGGACAAACCACAUGCACAAGUGCAUUUACAUGGUCAAUUUGUCAAGUUAGUUUUUUAUAUUUGUGUUCAUUGUAUCGUAGCAUAAUCUCAAUGUUCAUGUUACUGUUAGCGUGUGCUGUCCAGGUAUUUGGACAAAUUGUACUGUAAUGCUUUGUCAGUUUUGUUCUUGUAUCCAUGUCAAUAAAGCCUUCGACUGGGUUCUUUCAUCGCCCGGCCUCACCCUAACCAUGCCUCGAUCAUUAUUCAUAUGCUGAAACCACAGUCUUUCCCUGUAACCUACAUCCAUAAUGUAGCUGUAUUGCAUAUUGCAGAAAGUUAGAUAUAAUCUGUGC